AGAGAUGGAGACUAACGUCUUCCAAGGGAGAUUGCGUCUCCACUUUCACCCUGGUACUGAGAGGAACGCAGUCGCGGGGUAUAUCCCCCUGAAAACCGUACGUUGCCAAAUAAUGAUUUCUUUGGAUUAGAGAACUACAACUCCCCUGGGUCCUGAGCCGGUAUUUCCCUUUUGCGGCUGCACCGUAGUUAAAAACAAAGCUAAGUGUUCUGGGACGUAUAGUUCUAGCGUUCCUUGGGUCCCGCUGGCGAGCGUGGGCUUUCUGCAGCUCGCAACCGGCCUCGUGCUUUGCGGACGGUUCACUGCGCUUGGAAAGGGAUUGGCCUGGGGUACAUCAUCUAAAGAUCCUAGGAUUGCUGCAGGUCAGCAGUCUCCACUGGAAAAAAAGAUCUUGAAUCUAGGUGGUGUGCAUACAACAGCAGCAAGACAGUUGAUAAUGCAGAAAUAUCAGGAGGAGUGUGAAAUACUCUGUAGGGAGCAAGCUGUUUCUCUUGACUACUGGCUUGCCAAAGCAGAGUCUUAUUAUAAUAAAAUAAUAGUGGAAAUGAUGAAAGAAGAGACAGGCAAUGAAAUCUAGAAAAAAAUGGAGGAGAAAACAACCCAGAGCGUAGAAGGACUAAAACAGUACUGUUUGGUACCUGAGAGAGAGAUGAAACACAUAGAAAGGCACAUACAUCAAACAGGAAAGGCUGGAGAAUUUAAGAACAAACCAUUUAGACAAGUACUACAACCCCCCAAUGAAACAAAAUUACCAAAAAUUAUGCCAGAAGGGCAUGGCAUCCAGAACGCACAGAGAAGAAAGCAGGUAAAUGAGAGGGAACAGAUGCAGACUAAGGAUCACCAGGAACGCAUGAUUCGAGGGAGAGAACUUGCAGAACAAAGACUCAAGGAGAGAAUCUUGAGAAGAAGCCAGAGCCAGCUACUUACAUAUGAGAAGCAUGAGAGAGUAAAAGAGAUAAAGGAGUUUGAAAGAGUUAUUGCGUAUCUUCUUUUCCAACCAUGCAGUAGAAGUCGGAUUAAAGUGAGUAUUCUUAUGGAUAAGUCUCAGAAUGGAGAGAAGGUGAAUACAAUUGUGAAACCAUAUCAAAGAAAAUUCUUGGCAAUG
This 1105-nucleotide long non-coding RNA is filed under the name Homo sapiens (human). RNAcentral describes it as "non-protein coding lnc-RNF39-4:38". The record is from RNAcentral. Lineage: Eukaryota; Metazoa; Chordata; Mammalia; Primates; Hominidae.